CUAGAUGCCACCAUCUGAGGUCGGUUAUCAAGAGUAACCGAUUUCAGAUGGUGCUAG
This 57-nucleotide small RNA is filed under the name synthetic construct. RNAcentral's name for it is "AD-2". The record is from RNAcentral.